GGUGGCUCAGUGGCAGAGCACUUGCCUCAUAUACAUGAGGUCCUGGGUUCGAUUCCUCAGCACCA
This 65-nucleotide transfer RNA is filed under the name Dipodomys ordii (Ord's kangaroo rat). It matches the Rfam family "tRNA". From Rfam's summary of the family: Transfer RNA (tRNA) molecules are approximately 80 nucleotides in length. Their secondary structure includes four short double-helical elements and three loops (D, anti-codon, and T loops). Lineage: Eukaryota; Metazoa; Chordata; Mammalia; Rodentia; Heteromyidae. The record is from Rfam by way of RNAcentral.